AACAACCAAAUCGCAAGGAAACCCUCUCGUCGUGCAGAAGUCAAUACCUAGACCUAAAAGACGAUACCAUCUAGAGGUCUCCAAUCUACUGUCAACCAUCACCAUUUCUACUCCAAACUAGAGACCUCAACCAAAACAAACACACAAGGUCUGCAAAAAAAGCCUUUUCGAUGAACAUCUGCCUGCAUGCAUCUCAACCGAACACAAACAAACCAUAUACAUCCUAACUUAGCAAGGGAAAGGCGUCCCUAAGAUCCAGGCUAGAGGCCCAAAAU
RNAcentral lists this unclassified non-coding RNA (275 nucleotides) under Hevea brasiliensis (rubber tree). Lineage: Eukaryota; Viridiplantae; Streptophyta; Magnoliopsida; Malpighiales; Euphorbiaceae. The record is from RNAcentral.